RNAcentral lists this ribosomal RNA (404 nucleotides) under uncultured organism. RNAcentral describes it as "bacterial SSU rRNA". It matches the Rfam family "Bacterial small subunit ribosomal RNA", at positions 346 to 762 of the family's 1533-position model. The record is from RNAcentral.
GCGCAGCAGGCGAGAAUUUUUCACAAUGGGGGAAACCCUGAUGGAGCGACGCCGCGUGGAGGAUGAAGGCCUUUUGGUCGUAAACUCCUGUCAAACGGGAACAAGAAAGUGAUAGUACCGUUAGAGGAAGAGACGGCUAACUCUGUGCCAGCAGCCGCGGUAAUACAGAGGUCUCAAGCGUUGUUCGGAUUCAUUGGGCGUAAAGGGUGCGUAGGUGGCAUGGUAAGUUGAAGGUGAAAUCUCGGAGCUUAACUCCGAAACUGCCUUCAAUACUGCUGUGCUUGAGGACUGUAGAGGAGAAUGGAAUUCAUGGUGUAGCGAGUGAAAUGCGUAGAUAUCAUGAGGAAGACCAAGUGGCGAAGGCGAUUCUCUGGGCAGUUCCUGACACUGAGGCACGAAGGCUA